Molecule: ribosomal RNA, 564 nt
Filed under: Parengyodontium album
Lineage: Eukaryota; Fungi; Ascomycota; Sordariomycetes; Hypocreales; Cordycipitaceae
Description: eukaryotic LSU rRNA
Rfam family: Eukaryotic large subunit ribosomal RNA
Source: RNAcentral
AAACCAACAGGGAUUGCCCCAGUAACGGCGAGUGAAGCGGCAACAGCUCAAAUUUGAAAUCUGGCCCCCAGGGCCCGAGUUGUAAUUUGUAGAGGAUGCUUUUGGCGAGGCGCCUUCCGAGUUCCCUGGAACGGGACGCCACAGAGGGUGAGAGCCCCGUCUGGUCGGAUGCCAAGCCUAUGUAAAGCUCCUUCGACGAGUCGAGUAGUUUGGGAAUGCUGCUCAAAAUGGGAGGUAUAUGUCUUCUAAAGCUAAAUACCGGCCAGAGACCGAUAGCGCACAAGUAGAGUGAUCGAAAGAUGAAAAGCACUUUGAAAAGAGGGUUAAAAAGUACGUGAAAUUGUUGAAAGGGAAGCGCCUAUGACCAGACUUGGGCCCGGUGAAUCAUCCAGCGUUCUCGCUGGUGCACUUUGCCGGGCACAGGCCAGCAUCAGUUUGGCGCGGGGGACAAAGGCUUCGGGAAUGUGGCUCCCCUCGGGGAGUGUUAUAGCCCGUUGCGCAAUACCCUGCGCCGGACUGAGGUACGCGCUCCGCAAGGAUGCUGGCGUAAUGGUCAUCAGCGAC